GUUCGAUUCUGCUGCACAUGUACUAAAAUUGGAAUAAUGCCCAGAUUGGCAUGGCCUUUGCUCGAGGAUGACAUGCAAAUUCUGGUUUGUUUUUGUUUGUUU
Peromyscus maniculatus bairdii (prairie deer mouse) is the source of this 102-nucleotide small nuclear RNA. The record is from Ensembl. Lineage: Eukaryota; Metazoa; Chordata; Mammalia; Rodentia; Cricetidae.